Molecule: long non-coding RNA, 245 nt
Organism: Pseudophryne corroboree (corroboree frog)
Lineage: Eukaryota; Metazoa; Chordata; Amphibia; Anura; Myobatrachidae
Exons: 3
Source: RefSeq, a predicted model, not a curated record
AAUGUCCUUUUUGAGAUCCUGAAGCUGUUGACCCUGAGUGGGAGAAUGCCUUAUCCAGGUGUAGUCUUGUGUACACCUUUCCAGACCCAUAGCAGUGGUUUGGUUGCAGAGCUGUGAUUAUAUGGACAUUCUCCACACUUGGUAUACAGCAGUUCAGACAUGCAGCCCCAUUGGAAUGUGCUGAUAGAGAUAUACUUUUAAUUAUUCGGCUUCAUUAUAUUAUGAUUGGAUUUGAUGAUUCAUGU